GGAGUCUGGGCCGUAUCUCAGUCCCAAUGUGGCCGUUCAACCUCUCAGUCCGGCUACUGAUCGUCGACUUGGUGGGCCGUUACCUCACCAACUAUCUAAUCAGACGCGAGGCCAUCUCAGAGCGAUAAAUCUUUGACAUCAAUGCCAUGCGACACCAAUGUAUCAUGCGGUAUUAGCAGCCGUUUCCAGCUGUUGUCCCCCCUCUCCAAGGCAGGUUCCUCACGCGUUACUCACCCGUCCGCCACUUUCCUCUGCUUCCGUUGUCCGAAAACUACCUUCCUAGUAGUUCCGUUCGACUUGCAUGUGUUAGGCACGCCGCCAG
This 322-nucleotide ribosomal RNA is filed under the name uncultured Oscillospira sp. RNAcentral's name for it is "partial 16S ribosomal RNA". The record is from RNAcentral. Lineage: Bacteria; Bacillati; Bacillota; Clostridia; Eubacteriales; Oscillospiraceae.